RNAcentral lists this ribosomal RNA (425 nucleotides) under uncultured bacterium. Its description in RNAcentral is "bacterial SSU rRNA". It matches the Rfam family "Bacterial small subunit ribosomal RNA", at positions 356 to 773 of the family's 1533-position model. The record is from RNAcentral.
GGGGAAUUUUGGACAAUGGGCGAAAGCCUGAUCCAGCAAUGCCGCGUGUGUGAAGAAGGCCUUCGGGUUGUAAAGCACUUUUGUCCGGCAAGAAAUCCUUGGCUCUAAUACAGUCGGGGGAUGACGGUACCGGAAGAAUAGGCACCGGCUAACUACGUGCCAGCAGCCGCGGUAAUACGUAGGGUGCGAGCGUUAAUCGGAAUUACUGGGCGUAAAGCGUGCGCAGGCGGUUUGCUAAGACCGAUGUGAAAUCCCCGGGCUCAACCUGGGAACUGCAUUGGUGACUGGCAGGCUAGAGUAUGGCAGAGGGGGGUAGAAUUCCACGUGUAGCAGUGAAAUGCGUAGAGAUGUGGAGGAAUACCGAUGGCGAAGGCGACUCUCUGGACCGUAACUGACGCUGAGGCAUGAAAGCGUGGGGAGCAAAC